CAGCCGCCGCGGUAAUACGUAGGUCCCGAGCGUUGUCCGGAUUUAUUGGGCGUAAAGCGAGCGCAGGCGGUUAGAUAAGUCUGAAGUUAAAGGCUGUGGCUUAACCAUAGUAUGCUUUGGAAACUGUUUAACUUGAGUGCAGAAGGGGAGAGUGGAAUUCCAUGUGUAGCGGUGAAAUGCGUAGAUAUAUGGAGGAACACCGGUGGCGAAAGCGGCUCUCUGGUCUGUAACUGACGCUGAGGCUCGAAAGCGUGGGGAGCAAACAGGAUUAGAUACCCCUGUAGUCCCUGUCUCUUAUACA
This 301-nucleotide ribosomal RNA is filed under the name uncultured bacterium. Its description in RNAcentral is "partial 16S ribosomal RNA". It matches the Rfam family "Bacterial small subunit ribosomal RNA", at positions 509 to 808 of the family's 1533-position model. The record is from RNAcentral.